AUUUACUUAGCUGAACUGGUAAAGCGUCUGCCUACAAUGCAGGAGACCUGGGUUCGAUCCCUGGAUUAGGAA
This 72-nucleotide transfer RNA is filed under the name Ovis aries (sheep). It matches the Rfam family "tRNA". From Rfam's summary of the family: Transfer RNA (tRNA) molecules are approximately 80 nucleotides in length. Their secondary structure includes four short double-helical elements and three loops (D, anti-codon, and T loops). The record is from Rfam by way of RNAcentral. Lineage: Eukaryota; Metazoa; Chordata; Mammalia; Artiodactyla; Bovidae.